ACGAACGCUGGCGGCGUGCUUAACACAUGCAAGUCGAACGUGAUUUUUGUGGAAAUUCUUUCGGGAAUGGAAAUGAAAUGAAAGUGGCGAACGGGUGAGUAACACGUGAGCAACCUACCUUACACAGGGGGAUAGCCGUUGGAAACGACGAUUAAUACCGCAUGAGACCACAGAAUCGCAUGAUAUAGGGGUCAAAGAUUUAUCGGUGUAAGAAGGGCUCGCGUCUGAUUAGCUAGUUGGAAGGGUAAAGGCCUACCAAGGCGACGAUCAGUAGCCGGUCUGAGAGGAUGAACGGCCACAUUGGAACUGAGACACGGUCCAAACUCCUACGGGAGGCAGCAGUGGGGAAUAUUGCACAAUGGGGGGAACCCUGAUGCAGCGACGCCGCGUGAGCGAAGAAGGUUUUCGAAUCGUAAAGCUCUGUCCUAUGAGAAGAUAAUGACGGUACCAUAGGAGGAAGCCCCGGCUAAAUACGUG
Molecule: ribosomal RNA, 477 nt
Filed under: uncultured bacterium
Lineage: Bacteria
Description: partial 16S ribosomal RNA
Rfam family: Bacterial small subunit ribosomal RNA
Source: RNAcentral